CAGAUUGAACGCUGGCGGCAGGCCUAACACAUGCAAGUCGAGCGGUAACAGAGAGAAAGCUUGCUUUCUUUGCUGACGAGCGGCGGACGGGUGAGUAAUGCCUGGGAAUAUGCCUUGAUGUGGGGGAUAACCAUUGGAAACGAUGGCUAAUACCGCAUAAUGCCUACGGGCCAAAGAGGGGGAUCUUCGGACCUCUCGCGUCAAGAUUAGCCCAGGUGGGAUUAGCUAGUUGGUGAGGUAAUGGCUCACCAAGGCGACGAUCCCUAGCUGGUCUGAGAGGAUGAUCAGCCACACUGGAACUGAGACACGGUCCAGACUCCUACGGGAGGCAGCAGUGGGGAAUAUUGCACAAUGGGCGCAAGCCUGAUGCAGCCAUGCCGCGUGUGUGAAGAAGGCCUUCGGGUUGUAAAGCACUUUCAGUCGUGAGGAAGGUAGUUGCGUUAAUAGCGUAAUUAUUUGACGUUAGCGACAGAAGAAGCACCGGCUAACUCCGUGCCAGCAGCCGCGGUAAUACGGAGGGUGCGAGCGUUAAUCGGAAUUACUGGGCGUAAAGCGCAUGCAGGUGGUUUGUUAAGUCAGAUGUGAAAGCCCGGGGCUCAACCUCGGAAUUGCAUUUGAAACUGGCAGACUAGAGUACUGUAGAGGGGGGUAGAAUUUCAGGUGUAGCG
RNAcentral lists this ribosomal RNA (668 nucleotides) under Vibrio sp. HM12-79. RNAcentral's name for it is "bacterial SSU rRNA". It matches the Rfam family "Bacterial small subunit ribosomal RNA", at positions 25 to 680 of the family's 1533-position model. The record is from RNAcentral. Lineage: Bacteria; Pseudomonadati; Pseudomonadota; Gammaproteobacteria; Vibrionales; Vibrionaceae.